AGAGUUUGAUUAUGGCUCAGGAUGAACGCUGGCGGCGUGCUUAACACAUGCAAGUCGAACGGGAUCCAAGGGUGCUUGCAUCCUUGGUGAGAGUGGCGAACGGGUGAGUAACACGUGAGUAACCUGUCCUUUUCUUUGGGAUAAGCUCCUGAAAGGGUGUUUAAUACCUUAUGUUCUGUCUGCCUCGCAUGGGGUGGGUGGGAAAGAUUUUUUCGGUGAAGGGUGGGCUCGCGGUCUAUCAGCUUGUUGGUGGGGUGAUGGCUUACCAAGGCUUUGACGGGUAGCCGGCCUGAGAGGGUGGUCGGUCACAUUGGGACUGAGAUACGGCCCAG
This 332-nucleotide ribosomal RNA is filed under the name uncultured bacterium. RNAcentral's name for it is "bacterial SSU rRNA". It matches the Rfam family "Bacterial small subunit ribosomal RNA", at positions 8 to 334 of the family's 1533-position model. The record is from RNAcentral.